RNAcentral lists this ribosomal RNA (416 nucleotides) under uncultured microorganism. Its description in RNAcentral is "bacterial SSU rRNA". It matches the Rfam family "Archaeal small subunit ribosomal RNA", at positions 330 to 745 of the family's 1478-position model. The record is from RNAcentral.
GUGCAGCAGGCGCGAAAACUUCACAAUGUGCGAAAGCACGAUGAGGGAAUCCCAAGUGCUUGCACGUAAGUGUAAGCUGUUUCUCUGUCUAAAACGCAGAGAGAGUAAGGGCUGGGUAAGACGGGUGCCAGCCGCCGCGGUAAUACCUGCAGCUCGAGUGGUGACCGUUAUUAUUGGGCCUAAAACGUCCGUAGCCGGUUUAAUAAAUGCCUGGGUAAAUCGGACCGCUUAACGGUUCGAAUUCCGGGUAGACUGUUAAACUUGAGACCGGGAGAAGUUAGAGGUACUCCCGGGGUAGAGGUGAAAUUCUGUAAUCCUAGGGGGACCACCAGUGGCGAAGGCGUCUAACUAGAACGGGUCUGACGGUGAGGGACGAAGCCCUGGGGCGCAAAACGGGGAUUAGAUACCCGGGUAGU